UGCGUAGGUGGCGCGCUAAGUCAGGUGUGAAAUUUCAGAGCUUAACUUUGAAACUGCAUUUGAUACUGGCGUGCUUGAGGACUGGAGAGGAGACUGGAAUUCAUGGUGUAGCAGUGAAAUGCGUAGAGAUCAUGAGGAAGACCAGUGGCGAAGGCGGGUCUCUGGACAGUUCCUGACACUGAGGCACGAAGGCCAGGGGAGCAAACG
RNAcentral lists this ribosomal RNA (207 nucleotides) under uncultured bacterium. RNAcentral describes it as "partial 16S ribosomal RNA". It matches the Rfam family "Bacterial small subunit ribosomal RNA", at positions 568 to 774 of the family's 1533-position model. The record is from RNAcentral.